AAUGGCGGACGUAACGUUAUAUGUAAACAAGUCGUCUAGUCACAGCGUCCCAUAUUUUCCAAUUAAAAUCUAGAACAUUUCAUCAUUUGUAGGUUUCGAAAUCACUCAGACUUGGAAUUAUGAUGAGAUACAACAGGAUACAGAAAUGUUAAGUGUACAAGAAAGAUCCCGCUGGAUAAAGUGGAUACCCUCCUCUAUGGCUCAGCUUGCGCAAAUUGAAUCUCGCAUUUUAAAUUGUAUCAAAUGCAGUUUGGAGAAGAGAUUUGUUGUUCUACCUCAAAGUCAGCAUCGUAUAUGGACAAUUUGUAGCAAAUAAAGACAAGCCCCAAACCCCCUUGGUCAUGAUUCAUGGCAUGGGAGGUGGGGUAGGACUAUGGGUGCAAAGCAUAGACUCGCUGGCAGAGAAACGACCAGUGUACGCUUUUGACCUUCUGGGAUUUGGACGCAGCUCAAGGCCAAAGUUCAGCUCUAGUGCCAAACUGGCUGAAAUGGAGUUUGUGGAAUCUAUUGAAGAGUGGCGUCAGGAGAUGAAAAUUGAGAAAAUGGCCCUGCUGGGACACUCUCUUGGUGCUUAUUUAGCCAGUGCUUAUUCUUUGAAAUACCCUGAAAAAAUAGAACACUUAUUUCUAAUUGAUC
Molecule: long non-coding RNA, 636 nt
Organism: Dreissena polymorpha
Lineage: Eukaryota; Metazoa; Mollusca; Bivalvia; Myida; Dreissenidae
Exons: 3
Source: RefSeq, a predicted model, not a curated record